This 725-nucleotide long non-coding RNA is filed under the name Marmota monax (woodchuck). The record is from RNAcentral. Lineage: Eukaryota; Metazoa; Chordata; Mammalia; Rodentia; Sciuridae.
CGGGAGGUAACCCACAAUAAUAGGUUAAAGGUAAAUUUUAUUUGGUUAUUUUCUUUGUGCUUGAGAGUUGUAAAAAACUGAAAUAUUAUUGAAGCCACAUCCCUGUAACCCCAAACUUCUACCAGACAAUUCUAUCCAUACAAUGCCCUCACUCAUGUUCUUUCUUAGUUUUUCAGGAGCACGUCUGUUAGAAUCCAUUGGAAAUCUUCAAGGGACUAAGGAACAUAAAUCAGAAGCAGCAAUGGGAGUUUCAAAGUCCCCUGAGUCUCUUUCAUGUUCACAGAAUUCUGAAACUGGAUACAUAAAUAUGGCUUUUCUGAAAGAGGCACACAGCCUAAAAAAACAAGACCAAAAGUCAGAACUAUAAAAUCGCUGGUGUCUAACACUAUAAUGAUCAAACCUGCUAACUUAAAGCUUGAACGUUAAAGUGGACUAUGACAUGGAAGAUUCCAGAUUCCUCACUGUAUGUCAGCCAGGAGUCUUCAAAAUUGCUGAUAAUUCAUUAAACAGUUUCUAAAAAUGGAUUUCUCAAGUUUGUUUUAUAUCCUGAGAUGAUUUGAAUUGAUCAGUACAGUGAAGUUCGAUGAUAUAAUUAGAUUUUACUUCAGAGUAUAUAUAUGGUUAAUAUAGCAUUCUUUUCCAUUAUCAUGGGUAUUUUUAAGUGUUAUUAUUUAAAAGAAAAAAACAAUGUAAUCACAUUUAAGUAAAUACUUUUUUAAAAAACC